ACUCCUACGGGAGGCAGCAGUUAGGAAUAUUCGUCAAUGGGGGAAACCCUGAACGAGCAAUGCCGCGUGAGUGAAGAAGGUCCUAUGGAUUGUAAAACUCUGUUGUGAAGGAAGAAUGACUUCUAUAGGAAAUGAUAAAAGAGUGACGGUACUUCACCAGAAAGCCCCGGCUAACUACGUGCCAGCAGCCGCGGUAAUA
This 199-nucleotide ribosomal RNA is filed under the name uncultured bacterium. Its description in RNAcentral is "partial 16S ribosomal RNA". It matches the Rfam family "Bacterial small subunit ribosomal RNA", at positions 335 to 525 of the family's 1533-position model. The record is from RNAcentral.